RNAcentral lists this ribosomal RNA (494 nucleotides) under uncultured bacterium. RNAcentral's name for it is "bacterial SSU rRNA". It matches the Rfam family "Bacterial small subunit ribosomal RNA", at positions 10 to 507 of the family's 1533-position model. The record is from RNAcentral.
AGUUUGAUCAGUCGGACUCAGGACGAACGCUGGCGGCGUGCUUAACACAUGCAAGUCGAGCGGAAAGGCCCUUUCGGGGGUACUCGAGCGGCGAACGGGUGAGUAACACGUGAGUAAUCUGCCCUUGGCUUUGGGAUAACUACCGGAAACGGUGGCUAAUACCGGAUAUGACCAUGCUCGGCAUCGGGUGUGGUGGAAAGUUUUUUCGGCCAGGGAUGUGCUCGCGGCCUAUCAGCUUGUUGGUGGGGUAAUGGCCUACCAAGGCUUCGACGGGUAGCCGGCCUGAGAGGGUGACCGGCCACACUGGGACUGAGACACGGCCCAGACUCCUACGGGAGGCAGCAGUGGGGAAUAUUGGACAAUGGGCGGAAGCCUGAUCCAGCAACGCCGCGUGAGGGAUGACGGCCUUCGGGUUGUAAACCUCUUUCAGUACCGACGAAGCGCCGAUGAUGGUGGUGACGGUAGGUACAGAAGAAGCACCGGCCAACUACGUG